RNAcentral lists this ribosomal RNA (484 nucleotides) under Streptococcus sp. oral taxon C65. Its description in RNAcentral is "bacterial SSU rRNA". It matches the Rfam family "Bacterial small subunit ribosomal RNA", at positions 28 to 494 of the family's 1533-position model. Lineage: Bacteria; Bacillati; Bacillota; Bacilli; Lactobacillales; Streptococcaceae. The record is from RNAcentral.
GACGAACGCUGGCGGCGUGCCUAAUACAUGCAAGUAGAACGCUGAAGAGAGGAGCUUGCUCUUCUUGGAUGAGUUGCGAACGGGUGAGUAACGCGUAGGUAACCUGCCUUGUAGCGGGGGAUAACUAUUGGAAACGAUAGCUAAUACCGCAUAACAAUGGAUGACACAUGUCAUUUAUUUGAAAGGGGCAAUUGCUCCACUACAAGAUGGACCUGCGUUGUAUUAGCUAGUAGGUGAGGUAACGGCUCACCUAGGCGACGAUACAUAGCCGACCUGAGAGGGUGGUCGGCCACACUGGGACUGAGACACGGCCCAGACUCCUACGGGAGGCAGCAGUAGGGAAUCUUCGGCAAUGGGGGCAACCCUGACCGAGCAACGCCGCGUGAGUGAAGAAGGUUUUCGGAUCGUAAAGCUCUGUUGUAAGUCAAGAACGAGUGUGAGAGUGGAAAGUUCACACUGUGACGGUAGCUUACCAGAAAGGGCG